This 252-nucleotide ribosomal RNA is filed under the name uncultured microorganism. Its description in RNAcentral is "partial 16S ribosomal RNA". It matches the Rfam family "Bacterial small subunit ribosomal RNA", at positions 524 to 776 of the family's 1533-position model. The record is from RNAcentral.
UACGGAGGGUGCGAGCGUUAAUCGGAUUUACUGGGCGUAAAGCGAGCGCAGGUGGUUUAAUAAGUCUGAUGUAAAAGGCAGUGGCUCAACCAUUGUGUGCAUUGGAAACUGUUAGACUUGAGUGCAGUAGAGGAGAGUGGAAUUCCAUGUGUAGCGGUGAAAUGCGUAGAUAUAUGGAGGAACACCGGUGGCGAAAGCGGCUCUCUGGACUGUAACUGACACUGAGGCUCGAAAGCGUGGGUAGCAAACAGG